GGAUUCCCCUAGUAACUGCGAGUGAAGCGGGAAAAGCUCAAAUUUAAAAUCUGAGGGUUCCUCGUGGCCUUCCGAGUUGUAAUCUAGAGAAGUGCUAUCCGCGCUGGGCCGUGUACAAGUCUCCUGGAACGGAGCGUCAUAGAGGGUGAGAAUCCCGUCUUUGACACGGACUGCCAGGGCCUAUGUGAUGUGCUCUCAAAGAGUCGAGUUGUUUGGGAAUGCAGCUCUAAAUGGGUGGUAAAUUCCAUCUAAAGCUAAAUAUUGGCGAGAGACCGAUAGUGAACAAGUACCGUGAGGGAAAGAUGAAAAGAACUUUGGAAAGAGAGUUAAACAGUACGUGAAAUUGUUGAAAGGGAAACGCUUGAAGUCAGUCGUGUUGACCAGGAAUCAACCUUGCUCUUGCUUGGUGUACUUUCUGGUUAAUGGGUCAGCAUCAAUUGUGACCGGUGGAUAAAGGUCAGGGGAAUGUGGCAUCUUUGGAUGUGUUAUAGUCCUUGGUCGCAUACAUCGGUUGGGAUUGAGGAACUCAGCAUGCCGCAAGGCCGGGCUUAAAAACCACGUACAUGCUUAGGAUGCUGGCAUAAUGGCUUUAAUCGACCCGUCUUGAAACACGGACCAAGGAGUCUAACAUACACGCGAGUGUUUGGGUGGAAAACCCGAGCGCGUAACAAAAGUGAAAAUUGAGAUCCCUGUUGUGGGGAGCAUUGAUGCCCAGACCAGACCUUUUGUGACGGUUCUGCGGUUGAGCGCGUAUGCUGGGACCCGAAAGAUGGUGAACUAUGCCUGAAUAGGGUGAAGCCAGAGGAAACUCUGGUGGAGGCUCGUAGCGAUUCUGACGUGCAAAUCGAUCGUCAAAUUUGGGUAUAGGGGCGAAAGACUAAUCG
RNAcentral lists this ribosomal RNA (884 nucleotides) under Tricholoma luteomaculosum. RNAcentral describes it as "eukaryotic LSU rRNA". It matches the Rfam family "Eukaryotic large subunit ribosomal RNA", at positions 72 to 937 of the family's 3401-position model. Lineage: Eukaryota; Fungi; Basidiomycota; Agaricomycetes; Agaricales; Tricholomataceae. The record is from RNAcentral.